GAUGAACGCUAGCUACAGGCUUAACACAUGCAAGUCGCGGGGCAGCAUGGGGGUUGCUUGCAAUCCCCGAUGGCGACCGGCGCACGGGUGAGUAACGCGUAUUCAACCUGCCCUUCACCACGGGAUAACCCGGCGAAAGUCGGACUAAUACCGUAUGUUGUCCAUUGACGGCAUCCGAUUUGGACGAAAGGCUUGGCGGUGAGGGAUGGGGAUGCGUCCGAUUAGCCAGACGGCGGGGUAACGGCCCACCGUGGCUACGAUCGGUAGGGGUUCUGAGAGGAAGGUCCCCCACACUGGAACUGAGACACGGUCCAGACUCCUACGGGAGGCAGCAGUGAGGAAUAUUGGCCAAUGGGCGUAAGCCUGAACCAGCCAAGUAGCGUGCAGGAUGACGGCCCUAUGGGUUGUAAACUGCUUUUAUGCGGGGAUAAAGUGGCCCACGUGUGGGCUUUUGCAGGUACCGCAUGAAUAAGGACCGGCUAAGUCCGUG
Molecule: ribosomal RNA, 490 nt
Filed under: uncultured bacterium
Lineage: Bacteria
Description: partial 16S ribosomal RNA
Rfam family: Bacterial small subunit ribosomal RNA
Source: RNAcentral